GGGCGUGUAGCUCUGCGGGAGAGCACUACGUUGACAUCGUAGGGGUCACUGGUUCAAUCCCAGUAUCGCCCACCA
This 75-nucleotide transfer RNA is filed under the name Geminicoccaceae bacterium. RNAcentral describes it as "tRNA-Val". It matches the Rfam family "tRNA". From Rfam's summary of the family: Transfer RNA (tRNA) molecules are approximately 80 nucleotides in length. Their secondary structure includes four short double-helical elements and three loops (D, anti-codon, and T loops). Further hydrogen bonds mediate the characteristic L-shaped molecular structure. tRNAs have two regions of fundamental functional importance: the anti-codon, which is responsible for specific mRNA codon recognition, and the 3' end, to which the tRNAs corresponding amino acid is attached (by aminoacyl-tRNA synthetases). tRNAs cope with the degeneracy of the genetic code in two manners: having more than one tRNA (with a specific anti-codon) for a particular amino acid; and 'wobble' base-pairing, i.e. permitting non-standard base-pairing at the 3rd anti-codon position. The record is from RNAcentral. Lineage: Bacteria; Pseudomonadati; Pseudomonadota; Alphaproteobacteria; Geminicoccales; Geminicoccaceae.